AGUAGCGGCCUCCUCCUCUCCGUUUUGUCCAAGCCAGUUGAUCCAUUUUUCUGUGCUUGAAUCUGCCAUAUCAAGGAUCCUUUGUUGAAGCUGCAGCCACACUGGUGCAAGCCCAUGGAUGCUGAAGACUAUGAGGAGUACAUACCUCUUCUUUAUGAAGUUCUCGCAGGUCAGCAACAUGAGGUGAUUAAUGCACAUGCAUAUCUAUCUGAUUUGUGUGUUACUUCCAUCAUGUAUCUAGACUGGCAGUCAUAUUCCUCAGUUACUCAAGGGUGUAUGGCAUGCUGGAUCUUCUUUGAGGGCAUGAUUUAGUUCAGGUCUUCUUGUCCAGUCUUUGGCUCUUAUGCAUUGAAUCUGGAGCCAUUGUUUGCCCAACGUCUACCUAACCCCAUUAAUUUAUUUUACUUCCUUGAAUUACAAUCUUCACCCAUCAUGUUAGUUUAGAUGAAGCUGAAUUUACUAUAUAUCUAAAAUUAGGGGAUUAUGCAAUCUCUUAAGUUCUUGCCUUCUUGGUCAUCUUUUUAGAUAAACUGUUAUUCCGCUGGCUACAAGUAUACUCUGCUUUUCCAGAAAUCUUUAGUCUUGUUCUGAACAAAAUCAUCUAUUCUUGAUUGGAAUCUUGAGAUUGCACAUUUUUCAUCAGGGCAAAAAGGGCAAGACCUCGUUAAGAAUGUCGUCCUAGUGGGCACAAGGUCGAACAUGAAGCUACCAGGAACACCGAGUUAUCCUCUGUUAGCUUGGAGGAUGGUGCUAUGGGCGACCACGUCGGCAAUGGCAACAGCGAAGGCAACAAUGAUGUUGAGAACAUGGUGGUAGCCUAAGGUGACUUAGAAACUUAUGAAGGUGUAGAUGAUGCUCCAGAUCAUGAACUAGUGGACUUAGAAACAUG
Molecule: long non-coding RNA, 889 nt
Organism: Triticum aestivum (bread wheat)
Lineage: Eukaryota; Viridiplantae; Streptophyta; Magnoliopsida; Poales; Poaceae
Exons: 4
Source: RefSeq, a predicted model, not a curated record